UUCCGAAGAAACGGGCACCUGCCAUUGACUUCUGAUUGGAACAGACAGUUAAGUAAAGUUUUGAAUUAACUGUCACGACGGCAUAUUCCCCAGAUCUUGCGUGUAAUGAUGUACAGUACCGAUACAUCAAUGUGAUGGAGCCGGAGGAGACCUGUACCUUACCUAUAACGUAUCAACGUGAUGUACGCCCAGAACCUAUAUCACAGGAUUUAGCGUGGACCAUUAGCAUCAGAAGGAUGUGAAAACCAAUAUCGUGUCAUGUGAUAUUGACUAGGUAUUCUGUGUUGUACUGAUUAUAUAGUGUAUUUUAUACAAAACUAAUAUGUGCGACCUCGACCUGUGCAACCAUUUCUUGCGUAACUUUGAGCUGUGUGACCUGUAAAUUGUAACCAUGCGGGAAGAGGAUAUGGAGACGGCCAUCAAGGUCGUCAUUGUAGGUAACGGGGCGGUGGGCAAGUCCAGCAUGAUCCAGCGCUACUGUAAAGGAAUCUUCACCAAGGAAUACAAGAAGACCAUCGGAGUGGACUUCCUGGAGCGACAGUUAGAAGUAAACAAUGAGGAUGUGAGAUUGAUGUUGUGGGAUACUGCUGGACAGGAGGAGUUUGAUGCCAUUACCAAGGCUUAUUAUAGAGGAGCCCAGGCAUGUGUGCUGGCGUUUUCCACCGUCGAUCGUGACUCGUUUGACGCUGUUGAAUCAUGGAAGAAAAAGGUAGAAGAUGAGGUGGGGGAGAUUGGAAUGGUCAUUAUCCAGAAUAAGAUUGACCUCAUCGAUGAUACAGUGGUGAACGAUGAAGAGGCAGAGGAUCUGGCCAAGCGUCUACGACUACGCUUCUACAGGACAUCUGUCAAGGAGAAUCUCAAUGUGGAAGAGGUUUUCCGGUACCUUUCUGAGAAGUACUUAGACCAAAUCAACUGCGAAGUGGAGGAACCAGAGACUAAGAUUGCCAUUGGUCAAGGGCUAAUGGACGGUGGUGGUAUAACCAACAAUUCCAAGGAUAAAGACAGUUCAAAAAGUAAGAACAAAAAAAUUGGAAAUGGUAAAACUUCAAACAAACAUCGGUUCAAACUGCGGAAUGGUGAGGAUUCAACAAUUAAACUAGAACCCAGCAAACGGAGGACACGGGGCAAAAAGGCAAUCGUGACUGCAAAGUGUGUCAUAUUAUAGAAUCCUAGUGAGAGGUACUGCCUCGCCAUCAAACCAAAGGGGCAGCAUCGAUGUUACACCAGCCAAUGGAGUCUUCAUCUGAUCAUGUGACUAAUUUCAGGAGCCAAUCGGAGAACAGGUUGCUUCACAACGACUUUCUGAAGUGUUCAUACCGUGUAUUUAUUUUCUGAAUCAGUAACUUUGUUCAUUAUUUUGUUUUCAAGUUUUUUUGUGGUGUAAAAUAUGUUAUAUUCUAUAGAAAAUGGUUACCAAGUCUAAAUUAAGAUAACCCUUGGUUUUACAUUCUGAUCAUAGAUAAGUUACUGUAAAUCUCUGUUUCCGUUUUCACAGUUGUAGGUUCAGCAACUCAUAUGCAAGGGUUUUAAUUCAUGAAAGAACAACUCAGUAAAAUAUGUUGGAAUCAGGUGUCAUUUGAUAUAAAGCGAAUAUACAAUUGGCUUUUCUUUAGACUAUAUGCGAAAAUAUGUGUAAGUUUACAUUGUUUAGCUCACAACAGGAGUCAUCAUAAACUACUUUAUCUGUAUUAACCCACGUUCUGUUUCGAUGUUCAAAUUCCUACAACUCUGAACAGGAUUGCAGACAAAUAAUGCAUGUUUUCACAAUAUAAAUAUUUGUCUCUAAUCCUAUAUCAGAAUUAUAGGGACCAUAACUUGGAAUGGAAUGCAGUUUAAUACUUAUAUUCUUUAUUUUGAGGUAUCAUCAAUGCUUCGGUUUCCUUUUAAAUUUGAGGUAGAUCUUAAAUAAAUAAAGUGGGUAUCAGCCUGCUAUCUCCAAUCUUCAUACUUGCCAACUCUCCCUAUUUUGGAGGUGAAGAUGUCAUUCUAAAGUGAUUUUUACCUAGGGGAAUAUACACAUAUUUUAUUUAAUAUAUCAAAUCAAAACAGUUUUCUAUGUCAUAAGAGAGUAAAAAUGCAAUCCAGCAAGAUUGGAAUUCAAACCUUAGAUUACAGACUUCUAAAAUGUUGCUCCAACCAGAAGGGCUACCUAGUCAACAUUAUUCCUCUGAUCCAAUCCCACUACAUGUAUAGACAAUAAAGGGCGGGUUAUAGUGCUCAUGUAUUAAAAACUAUAGUGGAAUUAAAAAUUAAAUCUGCAUUUGGACAAGGAUCCUUCAAGACUCUUAGGUUACAGACCAACAACAUACAAUACAUUCCAUAUAUUGUAGAUUCACCUUAAAUCAAUCACUUGCUGGAAAAUUUAAACCUGUAUAGUGCUUGCUGUUGGUGUAAGUCUUUAUUAUCAACCAUUUUCAUCAGCAUGCAAACCGUUCACCCAUUUCCCAACUUAUCAUGCAUCAAACUUUUACAAAAGCCAAACAUGUACAGUACCCUGAUUACCAAAACUAUACAUAAAGAAAAUGAAGAGAGCCUUUUUAACUAUUUUCUUAAAGUGAGUGUUCAUUUUGAUUUGCACAGUCAUGAAAAUGUUUGAUAAUAAAUUACUGAUGACAUCUUACGGGAAAAAAUGUCUAUGCUUCCUGCAAUAUAUUCUUGUUGAGUAAAAUAAGCCUUUUGUAUGUGACUUCCUGUCAGAUGUACAUAGUUAUAAUUGCUAAAUGAAUAAACGAAAACACAACUUUGGAUUACUUGCCAGAAUUAUAAACAAAUUAUCCUGUACAUUGAUACUGUACCUGUGCCAUUAUGUACCUAGAAUCGUAGUAAUUGAUUGACUUUGUUUUGUUAAAUGAUACAUUUAAAACAGCCGAUGAGAGAUGUGUAACACAGCUGAUGAGAGUUGUGUUACACGGCUGGUGAAAGAGGUGUUACACAGCUGGUGAGAGAUGUGUUACACAGCUGAUGAGAGUUGUGUUACACACUGAUGAGAGUUGUGUUACACAGCUGAUGAGAGUUGUGUUACACAGCUGAUGAGAGUUGUGUUACGCAGCUGAUGAAAGUUGUGUUACACAGCUGAUGAGAGUUGUGUUACACAGCUGAUGAGAGUUGUGUUACACAGCUGAUGAGAGAUGUAUAACACAGCUGAUGAGAGAUGUAUAACACAGCUGAUGAGGGUUGUGUUACACAGCUGGUGAGAGUUGUACAUGUGUAACACGGCUGGUUAGAGUUGUGUUACACGGCUGGUGAGAAAUGUGUUACACGGCUGGUGAGAGAUGUGUUACACAGCUGAUGAGAAAUGUGUAACACGGCUGGUUAGAGUUGUGUUACACGGCUGGUGAGAAAUGUGUUACACAGCUGGUGAGAAAUGUGUUACACGGCUGGUGAGAGUUGUGUUAUACAGCUGGUGAGAGUUGUGUUACACAGCUGGUGAGAGUUGUGUUACACAGCUGGUGAGAGAUGUGUUACACGGCUGGUUAAAGAUGUGUUACACGGCUGGUGAGAGAUGUGUAUUCUUGCCUUAUGAUUGUAAAUAGUGUUCUCAUGUUUGAUUACUAGCGACUAAUCCCCACUCGACUGAUAUGUCAGAAGGUCUUUCCAGUAGUUGCUGUCACGCUAAUGUUGUGUUUUAGUGCUUGCAAUUAAGUGGAAUUCCAUGUGACAGAAUGUCAGAUGCUGAAGCAGAACACUGAUAUUAAGAUAAAAGUUUCAAGCUCAAGUGUUUUUACUGCUGAUUCACAAAAGUGGAUAUUAGAUUUUAGUAGGUUGUGUUUCAUGAUCUGAGAGAUCUUAAGUCAUAUUAAAUUUAUUUGAUUCAUCUUUUUCAAAUAUGAAUAUAAGUCCUUAUGGUUGUGCCUUCCUUGAUGAAAAGAUAUCUUUGUUCAGUUAUCAACUGUCCAUUUUCUAAUGAAUUCUUCACAGUCUAUGCAAAAAAUAUGUUCUCUUAUUGUUUUGUAUAUGUUUACAUACAGUUUUUACCUAGUUUUACAACAGCAUAAAGAUCUGAUUUGUUUUUACGCCUCUAAUAUUAAAAUCUUAGUCUCAAUGACUCUGUUAAAUGCAGUAUAAAUUAGGUACCCAUAUAUUAAAUCCUCUACACUAGGUGAAUGCCGAACUCAAGGUAUGUUUGGGGUACUCACUCAACCAUUGCCUUGUAUGCUGUGCAGUAAUUUGUAUGCUGUAAAGUAAUUUGUGAAAGAUUGGUGGAUUCUGGUAAAAAAUACUGAAUUAAUCCACUAAAAGAUACAUAAGAAUGUAUAAUAGUCCAGUCCAAUUAAUAGAAAAUGAAUUUAAUUAAAUAUGAGUAAAAUGUGAGAAGUUUUAUAUAAAAUGAUCCAUUAGAAAUUUAUAUACAAAUGGUCCAAUAUAUAACGGCUCUGAGUUCCAUUGCUAAUAAUGAUAUGCUAUACAGAGCCUUAUGAGUGCUACAGAAGGAGAAGCAUGUCUAUAGUUCAAAUAUUAGUUCUAAUCAGUUUGUGUAAAUGGAUGGUGUGGUCCCCCUGGGGGCAGAAGAUGUGGCCCAAUAAGGUAAAUACAGCCAAAUCUUUAAUCGUUUUUGUUCCAAACAGAAGAAUGGAUCGAAACCAAAUUUGAUAUAGAGUAUCCUUGACCCAAUAAGAUUCAAUGCUGUAUAACAAUAUAUACAUAAUUGAUUUCAGUUGAGAUAAAGGGCCAAUCACUAAAUCAGGGAAAAACAAUUAUCUAGAUCUGAUUAUCUCCCUUGUUAAUAGAUUCUAUUACUCUAGAUCUGAUUAUCUCCCUUGUCAAUAGUCUCUAUUACUCUAUAUCUGAUUAUCUCCCUUGUCAAUAGUCUCUAUUAUUAAAGAUCUGAUUUAUCUCCCUUGCAAAUAGUUUCUAUUACUUUAGAUCUGAUUAUCUCCCUUGUCAAUAGUCUCUAUUACUCUAGAUCUGAAUUAUCUUCCUUGCAAAUAGUCUCUAUUACUUGUUGUAAAUAUCUCCCACUGAAAUUAGCAUCUGUCCUCCUUAAGCAGAGACAUUUAGACAAAGUUUUUGUUCUGUACAUGUCAAUAGGAACAAUAUUCCUGAUGUCUUAACGGUACAAUAUUUCUGAUGGGGAUGGUACAACAUUUCUCAUGUCUGAUCGUACGAUAUUCAUUAAAAUUGUACAAUAUUCCUGGAUCCGAUCAUUAUGGGACAAUAUUUUUUAUGUCUGAUGGUCCAUAUUCCAGAAAAUUGUAAAUAUUCCUGAUGUUUAGCAACACAUAUCCCUGAUGUCUGAAAACAAGGGUUUGCCACUAUUAUCUUGUACAUUGUUUGUAUGAAACCAAAAAGUGCAAUAUAUAUUUUUGAUCUGACUUACACAGUUGUAGACUGAUGAUAAUAUCAGCUAUUUUGUAUCACUUAUAAAAUGUUUUAUUUCGUUUUUUACCUGCUAUAUAUGCACAGAUUGUAGUGUACCAGUCUGCUUUGGUGAAGUGUCAUUAUUUAGUCUCCAUCCCGUGUCUGGUAUUUUUGCGAGAAACUUUAUGAAUGUGAAGUUUGGCUAGAGUUCAUGCAGUAGUUAUCAAUUCAUCAAUGAACAUUUUAAACCAUUUUAUUAUUUCCAGCUGAUCGGUCAUGUUUCGUUUUAAGUGAUAGCUUUUAUUGAAUAUCAUUAUAGUAUUUGUAUAUCAAUAUUUACACAUAUCAAAGUGCAUGGUUUGUGCUAAUACUGGUGGACAUAUUGUGUUUGUAAAUGUAACCAUGGAGAUAAGAGCUGAUUUUCCAGGAAAUUUUUCUCUCGUCUGAUGUAUAAAUGAAACAGUACUUUUUAGGGGCCAGGUGUAUAAGAUACAGGUGUAUUUAUAGGGGCGGCUAAUAUAUAAAUAUAGUCUCUAUGUUUCUUAUGCCAAAGAAGCUUGUGUAAAUCUGGGAGUUGUCAUUUUAUCGGCCAGUUAAUAGAAAUACAGCACUACUUAGACUGUACAUUAAUGAAGAAUAAAUAAAACAAAAUAGCUGGUUUAAAUUUGCUUUCAAGAAAGUGUAAUAUUAUGAAUCGGUGAAGAGACAUUUUAGGAAUAGUGUACUUUAGUUGCUAUGGUGAUCUGAUUUAGAGGUUGAAGUUGCAACUUUAAGGUGAUUAGAGAUUUGAAAGAAGUCAUAUUUACUAUUGUGACCUAACAGGAGGUUGUAGUCAUGGUGACAUGACAGAGAGGAUGUAGUUGCUAUGGUAACCCAACAGGAGGAUGUAGUCAUGGUGACAUGGCAGAGAGGAUGUAGUUGCUAUGGUAACCCAACAGGAGGUUGUAGUCAUGGUGACAUGGCAGAGAGGAUGUAGUUGCUAUGGUGUCCUGCAAGAGGUUAUAGUUACUUAAGUAGUUUGACGUGAUGUUCAAAACAUUUAAAAUGUAAUUCUGUCUCUAUUAAGUUGACUUGCAAAGACUGCUUUUUGACAGUAAAUGUCAAGUUGUAGUCAGCAAAAAGGGUUUAGAUAGGAAUAAUAGAAUACAUCAUACAUUUUGUUGACCACUGAUAUCACUCAGCCUAACAUUCUCUCCGUGCGAGUGUAGAUUUGUAAUUUGUCAUACCAGUAUUUUUUGUAGAUGACAUGUUAUCUGCGUGUUUUUUAUAUGUAAUAGAAUGAAAUAAACAUAUGAACUCCAA
RNAcentral lists this unclassified non-coding RNA (6600 nucleotides) under Mizuhopecten yessoensis (Yesso scallop). Its description in RNAcentral is "ras-related protein Rab-23-like, transcript variant X4". Lineage: Eukaryota; Metazoa; Mollusca; Bivalvia; Pectinida; Pectinidae. The record is from RNAcentral.